UGGGACCUACGGGGGGCAGCAGUGAGGAAUAUUGGUCAAUGGUCGGGAGACUGAACCAGCCAAGCCGCGUGAGGGAUGAAGGUACAGAGUAUCGUAAACCUCUUUUGUCAGGGAACAAAGGCGGGGACGCGUCCCCGGAUGAGUGUACCUGAAGAAGAAGCAUCGGCUAACUCCGCGCCAGCAGCCGCGGUAAUACGGAGGAUGCGAGCGUUAUCCGGAUUUAUUGGGUUUAAAGGGGGCGCAGGCGGUCUGUUAAGUCAGCGGUCAAAGCCCGGGGCUCAACCCCGGCCCGCCG
This 295-nucleotide ribosomal RNA is filed under the name uncultured bacterium. RNAcentral describes it as "partial 16S ribosomal RNA". It matches the Rfam family "Bacterial small subunit ribosomal RNA", at positions 331 to 626 of the family's 1533-position model. The record is from RNAcentral.